Molecule: small nuclear RNA, 107 nt
Organism: Suncus etruscus (white-toothed pygmy shrew)
Lineage: Eukaryota; Metazoa; Chordata; Mammalia; Eulipotyphla; Soricidae
Source: RefSeq, a predicted model, not a curated record
GUGCUCACUUCGGCAGCACAAACACUAAAAUUGAAACAACACAGAGAAGAUUAGUAUGUCUCCUGCACAAGGAUGACAUGCAAAUUCGUGAAGCGUUCUAUAUAUUA